Molecule: long non-coding RNA, 1667 nt
Organism: Aedes albopictus (Asian tiger mosquito)
Lineage: Eukaryota; Metazoa; Arthropoda; Insecta; Diptera; Culicidae
Exons: 3
Source: RefSeq, a predicted model, not a curated record
GCUACAGAUAAUAGCAACAUUUAAUUCACUAAACAACCCAACAAUUUUAAGAAGCGAGAAGGAUGUCUUGUUGUAGGGAUGUCAUGUGACGAAAAAGUGAAGAUGCAAGUGCUCUGCUGUAAAUAGGAGGAAUGCGUUUCUUAUACCAUCGGUCUAUUCACUUCAAAAUUUCGAUUUUUCUCGUCCCUCUCACCAUUUCUCCCUCUACAACCCACUCCUUCGCAGAUGUUUUGUUUAUAUGAGAGCCAGAACCUUUUUAAUGAGUUGAAAAGGUUGAAAUAAAUUUAAAAAAAUCAUGUGCCUAUUUGGCCAGCCCAAAAUGCUCCCAGGAACUGACUAAAUCGGUUCUUCUCUGUAUACAAUAGACUGGUAACGUCCAUAAAUUACGACACACUAAGGAAGCAAUGGGUCAGCGAAAGUAAAAUAAUCCUAACUCAGACAAAAAUUGUAGAGGUCUCAUACACAAAGUGUGCCAUAUGAUGAAUAAUUGGUUGGAAAUGGAUUUUUUUUCGUGACGUAAAUUAUGGACAUUCCCUUAUUAAAAUUUCAGGCUACGCCACUGCUCCACAUAACAAUAUUUUUUUAAUUAUUUUUUUAUGAUUCGAUUAUCCGGAGGAUUUGAUUAACCGGAGUGAAAUAAAAAUCGAUACUCCGGAUAAUCGAGUCCGACCUGUAUUAACUAAAUGCACUUUCGGGUGAUUUGUGCAUCAUGAACAUAUUUCGGGCUUGGGAGUACACUACAUUCCAUAAGCCAUAUAACAAUUCCAUAUUAGCUGAAUGAACUUAAAUAUUACUUCGUUAUUUAAUAAAAAAUCAAAAACCAAAAAGUGAGGAAAUGCUUCCAGUUUCGCCUUAAGGAGUUCAACCAGUCAACAGUAGAAUCUUCCACGACAUUUGGGAACAACAAGAACCCCCACAAACACGAAACUUAAGCGCUGCUGCUAAUUCAACGACACACGUAUGGUUGUUAUAUAGGAUCACGAUACGUAUUUAAGGACUAUGUAACGGGAAGCUACUGUCCUGUUAUGCGUCGCCGAAUGUGGACCAAAGGGAGUUUCACAGGCUCCCGAAUGCCAAAAAAGAGAAAAAGGACAUUGACUGCUGCCACCGCGACAGCGGAUAGCAAUAUAGAUAAGCAUAACCACCGACAAAGGAAUCUUAUUACAGUUUUUCCAGGGCUGUUCGGAUUACGACGGUGCCGUCAGGAACAGACAAUCUACUGGAAAUCGGAGUCACACCGCAAGGAAACCAUGGAAGCAUCAAAAACGAGAAAAGCUGGAAAUGUUUGUUUAAAGACGUACGCACAUCUCGAUACGUAUUGAUUUCAUUCAGAAAAAAAAAACAGUUCCAAUAAACUAUCAUUUUAAUUUUAUUGUAUGUUGUACAAAAGAGGAAAACAAUUUUUUUACAUCCAAAAGUAUUAUAGUUUUCUUAUUCUUAUAAAGUUCUUUUUGAUUUAAUUUUUCAUGUCUGGAUGAUGUACGUAUCUAACUGUGACCGUGUACAUUAAAACGGGAAGGCUAUUAUUAGUCAAGCUGUCAAGUACAUUGGACGUACAAACUCCACACGUAUAAUUAGUAAUACAUCAACUUUGUUUCAAUUUGAAACAAAAAGAAACCCGGAACGUCACACGUUACGGACGUUACAAAAAUUACAUGUUAAAGUUA